Long non-coding RNA from Oreochromis aureus, 529 nucleotides. Lineage: Eukaryota; Metazoa; Chordata; Actinopteri; Cichliformes; Cichlidae. The record is from Ensembl.
UGCCUAGGGUUGCCGACCCCUGAUCUAGAAGAACUACAGGACUUUCCCAGUCAUCUGCACGUCUUUGGUCUUGUCUCCCUCUCCUCCCUCCUCCACCCCUAACUGCUCACAGCAGAUGGCCGCCCCUCCCUGAACCUGGUCCUGCCAGAGUCCCUCACCUUCUCCAACAAAUGGACUUGCAUUGCAUUUUCCGACCAAGCAUGACAAAGGACUUCUCAGUGCCUCCUAUUCACACACUCACACAUGCUGAUAGGGCCAGCGCAGAGCAAUUUACGUUUCAGUGUUUUUGCUCACGGACACUUUGAUGUGCAGUCAGCAGGAGCUUGGGAUCGAACCACCAACUGCCAACCCAGUCCCUACCUUUCAUACCUUUAGGAAGCCAGACGGCGUAUUUGAGAACAUCUGUGCUAAAGGAUUCCAAUAACAACAACUACAACAACAACAGGGAAAUGCUCUAGCAUUUAUGUGUUUUUCUAGACACAAUCUUGGCUGCAUUUAAAGUAAAAAUUUUUCACUCAUCCUAUUCGGC